UACGGGGGAUGCAAGCGUUAUCCGGAUUUAUUGGGUGUAAAGGGUGCGUAGACGGGAAAUUAAGUUAGUUGUGAAAUCCCUCGGCUUAACUGAGGAACUGCAACUAAAACUGAUUUUCUUGAGUACUGGAGAGGAAAGUGGAAUUCCUAGUGUAGCGGUGAAAUGCGUAGAUAUUAGGAGGAAUACCAGUGGCGAAGGCGGUCAACUGGACAGCAACUGACGCUGAGGCGCGAAAGCGUGGGGAGCAAACAGG
This 253-nucleotide ribosomal RNA is filed under the name uncultured Eubacteriales bacterium. Its description in RNAcentral is "uncultured Clostridiales bacterium partial 16S ribosomal RNA". It matches the Rfam family "Bacterial small subunit ribosomal RNA", at positions 524 to 776 of the family's 1533-position model. The record is from RNAcentral. Lineage: Bacteria; Bacillati; Bacillota; Clostridia; Eubacteriales.